Molecule: long non-coding RNA, 3324 nt
Filed under: Nicotiana benthamiana
Lineage: Eukaryota; Viridiplantae; Streptophyta; Magnoliopsida; Solanales; Solanaceae
Description: long non-coding RNA (NBEN_LNC016356)
Source: RNAcentral
UAUUGCAUCGGCUUGCACCUUUUCUACCUAUCAGUAUCUUUUACUAUAAGACUCCAAUGUAAGAGAACUUACUUACUACCUAUUCAGGAGGAUCUCAGAUUCAACGUUAGUGGCUGUGUAUCUUUCAAAUACCUUAUUAGUUAUUUCUUCUUUUGUCUGUUAUUGAGAGUUACAGUACGUGAAACAUUUCAUCAUUGUAUGUCAAAGCUAAGCUGGUCUGGGCAUCCCAGACUUCCAAGUGUUGAAAUGGGGAAUCUUGUCUUAUUAAAUUUAUCCUAUUUUAGUUUUUUCUUAGUGAUAGCACAUACUCUUCUAUGUUAAUUACCAGACAUUAAAGAGAUGAAAGAAGAGAUGGACUGAAAAAAAGAACUGGUUAAAAUUCAAUGUAUCAGAUUAACUGUCAACAGGAAAAUAGAUUGUGAUAUCUUUUUAAGGUGGUGAUAUGCUGCAUGAGAAAUCUGUUUCGUCUUUUUUAGAUUUGAUGUGAAUUAAAAAAAUGGCUUAUGUUAGUGUCAGAUGUGUGUAGAUUCAUUAUACAUACAUGGAUUAAUUGCAUAGAAUUUCUAAUAGAUUAUGUUUAAUGGUGUGCCAAUAUUAGAAAUCCAGUGAUUAGGAAAUUUUCCUUGUUUAAUGUGCCUAUACUCAUAAAAAAAGAGCCUGCUUCUACGUUGGUAAUAUCAAUACAUCUAGAGUUUUACCAUCAAAUUUUUCUUGAUUCAGCUUAGAAAUUUCUCCCUUGUUAACAAGGGUAUCAUAGAAUUUUGUGAGUAUGGUAUAGGAAAGAAGAAUUUCAAAGUAAAGGUUGAGGCAUAACUAUGACUUUUCAUUGCAAAAUGUGGAAGUAGUUGACAAGGUGCACAUUGUACUCCGUUGACUAACUUGUGCUUUUUUGUAAGAAUGACAUGCACCUCCUCUUUUUCAAGAUUCUCCUAAAGUAGUUCCAACUCAUUCUAAUUCAGUAAUUCUACUAUAGUUCAAUGUCCAUUUCUCUUCCUCGUGGCUCCCUUCAUCAAUUAGUUUGAUCUGAUUUUGUUUUUCCUUUGUACUUGUGAAGAGUGUGAAGAGGAAGAUGUUUUUUAAGCUUCCUCCUUACAUUUCCAUUUAAAUUUGUUUGUUAAGUUCUUUCAGUCAUUUUUAGUUAUCUCAUGGCUCUUACAUGCCUUUGCUGAUUGUUUAGAGAGGACUUAUACUGCGCCAGCAAAGUGGAUGAGGGGCAAAGGACGUGUGACAAUCCAAUUUGGUUGUUGUUACAACUAUGCACCAGUAAGUCUUCUACAAUCUUAUCUUAAUCCCUCCCUCUCCACAAAGAAGGACCCCCUCCCACGUACACAUACAGUGGAGGCUCACAACAGUAAAUGGAGUGCCCUAAACUAUUGGCUUUUAGGUGACAAUCUAGUAAAGACUUAUUUUCCCCUAAUUCACAGCUUUCUUCUUUGAUAGGGUUGUAGCAUAAGGGUUAAUCACUGAAAGGAAGUGGAAUGUAUGCAUAGCAUAAUGACUGAAUUUUCUUUAUGGCAGGAUAAGAGUGGGAAUCCCCCAGGGAUCCUCAAAAGUGAAACUGUUGAUCCAUUGCCUGAUCUUUUGAAGGUCAUGAUUAGAAGGCUUGUAAAGUGGCAUGUGAUGCCUCCGACUUGUGUUCCAGAUAGCUGUAUUAUCAACAUUUAUGAAGAGGGAGAUUGCAUACCACCGCAUAUUGACAAUCAUGAUUUUGUGCGUCCCUUUUGUACCGUUUCAUUCCUUAGCGAGUGCAAUAUUGUGUUCGGUUCCAACUUGAAAAUAGUGGGUCCCGGUGAGUUUGCUGGUGCAAUUGCAAUACCGUUGCCAGUGGGGUAAGUGAGAGUGUGCUGUUCUUCUCAUACUACUGAAAUUAGGAUCAUUGAUCAUAACUGACAUUAUAUUACUCCAGAUCUGUACUGGUCUUGAAUGGAAAUGGAGCUGAUGUAGCUAAACACUGUGUGCCAACUGUGCCUACUAAAAGGUACACACUGAAUGUUCAGAGUCAUUACUGACAUUAUAUUACUCCAGAUCUGUACUGGUCUUGAAUGGAAAGGGAGCUGAUGUAGCUAAACACUGUGUGCCAGCUGUGCCUACUAAAAGGUACACACUGAAUGUUCAGAGCUCUGGAGUCAUAGUUAAAUCUUCUGUGUCCUUGCACAUUAUGCUAACAUAUUGUUAACCGGUGCUUCAUAUAGGAUUUCAAUCACGUUUAGAAGAAUGGACGACUCUAAAAGGCCAGUUGGAUAUGUUCCUGAGCAAGAUUUACAAGGGCUGCAGCCCUUGUCAUAUGAAACAGACAGACAGAAGAAAACGAAUUUCUCAAAACCAAGGUAUUCCGCAAGAAAACAGUCAGCACUACGGGAAGAGAGCCUGGAAAGAGUAAAGAUGCCAAUGAGAAGGCAUUCAGAGCCCCGUUACGCAGGUCGAUAUCGACAAGGACCUGCAAACAGACAGAGGUUUAGCGUGAAUACAGAAAAUUGAAGGUACAUUCGGACUUUAUUGUUUUGAUCCAUCGUCAUCUGCUAAAAUUAAUGGCUCUGUUGGUGGAGGUCUCUUCUUUUCUUAUCUUCACCUCGAGCUGUUGAAGUAUUAAAAUUCUGAAGAGGUUGCUGCGUGAUACUCCUUUGGAUGAAUAUCUUCUAAAAUAGAAGUUUAAUCCUGCUCUCUGCAUUGAAAUCUUGUACUACAAUAAUUUCCGGAAACCAGGUAUGAAUGUGAAUGAGGAACAAUCAAGUUGAGAGCGGGAAAGAGUGGUGGUCAUGUGAUCUAGAGAUGGAUGGAUAAUAUAUCUGAUCUGAUAAUUUAUCCGAUGUAUGUGUGGUGUUCCAGUUUGCGGUGGUAAUAGCGUGUAUGUAUAUCACGAGGCAGCUUGGAUAAACACUGCUGAAGAUUGGAGUGUCAACUUGAAUAAUGCACCUUGUGAAGAAUUAAGUCCAUCCAUGUACACUUGAUAUUGGUGAAGCUUACAUGGUUAUUCAAUUCAUGUCAUAGGUUACAGUUAUUUGCGCACAAGCGUUUGUGCUUGCUUACUACUGUAAUGUUUUCUCUUAGUGCUUGUAUCGUUAAUCGGUUGAGCUUAAACAUUGAGACUAAGUUAUCUUGUCUGACACUCUUUGCUUUUCUACUUGUUGGCUCAAAAAUUUUAUGGAAUAUUUACGGUACGAAGGCUAAUAAAUAGGAACAUGAGCGGAGGAUCCGAACUCUUAACUUGCUCUACGACUGUACCUUUUCAUCAUUUGGUCUCAUACCAAUUAUAAUAUCUUCAUUGGUUCAAAAUUGAAAAUAUUAAUUUAUCUUUGUAAUAUAGAUGCUAGUAAAAGAAAUACU